GAGCCGGAGGGAAACCGAGUCUUAACCGGGCGUUAAGUUGCAGGGUAUAGACCCGAAACCCGGUGAUCUAGCCAUGGGCAGGUUGAAGGUUGGGUAACACUAACUGGAGGACCGAACCGACUAAUGUUGAAAAAUUAGCGGAUGACCUGUGGCUGGGGGUGAAAGGCCAAUCAAACCGGGAGAUAGCUGGUUCUCCCCGAAAGCUAUUUAGGUAGCGCCUCGUGAAUUCAUCUCCGGGGGUAGAGCACUGUUUCGGCUAGGGGGCCAUCCCGGCUUACCAACCCGAUGCAAACUGCGAAUACCGGAGAAUGUUAUCACGGGAGACACACGGCGGGUGCUAACGUCCGUCGUGAAGAGGGAAACAACCCAGACCGCCAGCUAAGGUCCCAAAGUCAUGGUUAAGUGGGAAACGAUGUGGGAAGGCCCAGACAGCCAGGAUGUUGGCUUAGAAGCAGCCAUCAUUUAAAGAAAGCGUAAUAGCUCACUGGUCGAGUCGGCCUGCGCGGAAGAUGUAACGGGGCUAAACCAUGCACCGAAGCUGCGGCAGCGAACGUAUCACCCAAGACAACUUUACGGAGUUGACGAUUGACGGAGCGAAGCGACGUCAAAGCGUUCAUUAAAGUCGAGUUGGCUUAGGGAUACGUUCGUUGGGUAGGGGAGCGUUCUGUAAGCCUGUGAAGGUGUGUCGUGAGGCAUGCUGGAGGUAUCAGAAGUGCGAAUGCUGACAUAAGUAACGAUAAAGCGGGUGAAAAGCCCGCUCGCCGGAAGACCAAGGGUUCCUGUCCAACGUUAAUCGGGGCAGGGUGAGUCGACCCCUAAGGCGAGGCCGAAAGGCGUAGUCGAUGGGAAACGGGUUAAUAUUCCCGUACUUGGUGUUACUGCGAAGGGGGGACGGAGAAGGCUAUGUUGGCCGGGCGACGGUUGUCCCGGUUUAAGCGUGUAGGUGUGUGUUCCAGGUAAAUCCGGUUCACUUUAACACUGAGGCGUGACGACGAGGCACUACGGUGCUGAAGCAACAAAUGCCCUGCUUCCAGGAAAAGCCUCUAAGCAUCAGGUAACAUCAAAUCGUACCCCAAACCGACACAGGUGGUCAGGUAGAGAAUACCAAGGCGCUUGAGAGAACUCGGGUGAAGGAACUAGGCAAAAUGGUGCCGUAACUUCGGGAGAAGGCACGCUGACACGUAGGUGAAGUGAUUUACUCAUGGAGCUGAAGUCAGUCGAAGAUACCAGCUGGCUGCAACUGUUUAUUAAAAACACAGCACUGUGCAAACACGAAAGUGGACGUAUACGGUGUGACGCCUGCCCGGUGCCGGAAGGUUAAUUGAUGGGGUCAGCGCAAGCGAAGCUCCUGAUCGAAGCCCCGGUAAACGGCGGCCGUAACUAUAACGGUCCUAAGGUAGCGAAAUUCCUUGUCGGGUAAGUUCCGACCUGCACGAAUGGCGUAAUGAUGGCCAGGCUGUCUCCACCCGAGACUCAGUGAAAUUGAACUCGCUGUGAAGAUGCAGUGUACCCGCGGCAAGACGGAAAGACCCCGUGAACCUUUACUAUAGCUUGACACUGAACAUUGAGCCUUGAUGUGUAGGAUAGGUGGGAGGCUUUGAAGUGUGGACGCCAGUCUGCAUGGAGCCGACCUUGAAAUACCACCCUUUAAUGUUUGAUGUUCUAACGUGGACCCGUAAUCCGGGUUGCGGACAGUGUCUGGUGGGUAGUUUGACUGGGGCGGUCUCCUCCUAAAGAGUAACGGAGGAGCACGAAGGUUGGCUAAUCCUGGUCGGACAUCAGGAGGUUAGUGCAAUGGCAUAAGCCAGCUUGACUGCGAGCGUGACGGCGCGAGCAGGUGCGAAAGCAGGUCAUAGUGAUCCGGUGGUUCUGAAUGGAAGGGCCAUCGCUCAACGGAUAAAAGGUACUCCGGGGAUAACAGGCUGAUACCGCCCAAGAGUUCAUAUCGACGGCGGUGUUUGGCACCUCGAUGUCGGCUCAUCACAUCCUGGGGCUGAAGUAGGUCCCAAGGGUAUGGCUGUUCGCCAUUUAAAGUGGUACGCGAGCUGGGUUUAGAACGUCGUGAGACAGUUCGGUCCCUAUCUGCCGUGGGCGCUGGAGAACUGAGGGGGGCUGCUCCUAGUACGAGAGGACCGGAGUGGACGCAUCACUGGUGUUCGGGUUGUCAUGCCAAUGGCACUGCCCGGUAGCUAAAUGCGGAAGAGAUAAGUGCUGAAAGCAUCUAAGCACGAAACUUGCCCCGAGAUGA
Molecule: ribosomal RNA, 2248 nt
Filed under: Salmonella enterica
Lineage: Bacteria; Pseudomonadati; Pseudomonadota; Gammaproteobacteria; Enterobacterales; Enterobacteriaceae
Description: partial 23S ribosomal RNA
Rfam family: Bacterial large subunit ribosomal RNA
Source: RNAcentral